RNAcentral lists this ribosomal RNA (301 nucleotides) under uncultured bacterium. RNAcentral describes it as "partial 16S ribosomal RNA". It matches the Rfam family "Bacterial small subunit ribosomal RNA", at positions 509 to 807 of the family's 1533-position model. The record is from RNAcentral.
CAGCAGCCACGGUAAUACGAAGGGUGCAAGCGUUAAUCGGAAUUACUGGGCGUAAAGCGUGCGCAGGCGGUUUGUUAAGUCUGUUGUGAAAUCCCCGGGCUCAACCUGGGAAUGGCAAUGGAUACUGGCAAGCUAGAGUGUGUCAGAGGAUGGUGGAAUUCCCGGUGUAGCGGUGAAAUGCGUAGAGAUCGGGAGGAACAUCAGUGGCGAAGGCGGCCAUCUGGGACAACACUGACGCUGAGGCACGAAAGCGUGGGGAGCAAACAGGAUUAGAUACCCCGGUAGUCCCUGUCUCUUAUAC